RNAcentral lists this transfer RNA (72 nucleotides) under Salmo salar (Atlantic salmon). It matches the Rfam family "tRNA". From Rfam's summary of the family: Transfer RNA (tRNA) molecules are approximately 80 nucleotides in length. Their secondary structure includes four short double-helical elements and three loops (D, anti-codon, and T loops). Further hydrogen bonds mediate the characteristic L-shaped molecular structure. tRNAs have two regions of fundamental functional importance: the anti-codon, which is responsible for specific mRNA codon recognition, and the 3' end, to which the tRNAs corresponding amino acid is attached (by aminoacyl-tRNA synthetases). tRNAs cope with the degeneracy of the genetic code in two manners: having more than one tRNA (with a specific anti-codon) for a particular amino acid; and 'wobble' base-pairing, i.e. permitting non-standard base-pairing at the 3rd anti-codon position. Lineage: Eukaryota; Metazoa; Chordata; Actinopteri; Salmoniformes; Salmonidae. The record is from Rfam by way of RNAcentral.
CUCCCUGUGGCUCAGUUGGUAGAGCAUGGUGUUUGCAAUGCCAGGGUUGUGGGUUCGAUUCCCACGGGGGGA